This 279-nucleotide ribosomal RNA is filed under the name uncultured Eubacteriales bacterium. RNAcentral describes it as "uncultured Clostridiales bacterium partial 16S ribosomal RNA". It matches the Rfam family "Bacterial small subunit ribosomal RNA", at positions 523 to 802 of the family's 1533-position model. Lineage: Bacteria; Bacillati; Bacillota; Clostridia; Eubacteriales. The record is from RNAcentral.
AUACGUAAGGUCCGAGCGUUGUCCGGAAUCAUUGGGCGUAAAGGGUACGUAGGCGGAUAAGCAAGUUAGAAGUGAAAUCCUAUAGCUCAACUAUAGUAAGCUUUUAAAACUGCUCAUCUUGAGGUAUGGAAGGGAAAGUGGAAUUCCUAGUGUAGCGGUGAAAUGCGCAGAUAUUAGGAGGAAUACCGGUGGCGAAGGCGACUUUCUGGCCAUAAACUGACGCUGAGGUACGAAAGCGUGGGUAGCAAACAGGAUUAGAUACCCUGGUAGUCAAGGGCG